UACGUAGGGCGCAAGCGUUAAUCGGAAUUACUGGGCGUAAAGCGCGCGUAGGUGGUUCGUUAAGUUGGAUGUGAAAUCCCCGGGCUCAACCUGGGAACUGCAUCCAAAACUGGCGAGCUAGAGUAUGGUAGAGGGUGGUGGAAUUUCCUGUGUAGCGGUGAAAUGCGUAGAUAUAGGAAGGAACACCAGUGGCGAAGGCGACCACCUGGACUGAUACUGACACUGAGGUGCGAAAGCGUGGGGAGCAAACAGG
Molecule: ribosomal RNA, 253 nt
Filed under: uncultured bacterium
Lineage: Bacteria
Description: partial 16S ribosomal RNA
Rfam family: Bacterial small subunit ribosomal RNA
Source: RNAcentral